This is a long non-coding RNA of Lolium perenne, 1355 nucleotides long. RefSeq lists it as uncharacterized. Lineage: Eukaryota; Viridiplantae; Streptophyta; Magnoliopsida; Poales; Poaceae. The record is from RefSeq and is a predicted model, not a curated record.
GACGGCGUGUGCUCUAGCAACUCCAGCCUGUUCCGGAGGCGGAGGGUGGCGGGCUUGUACGUCAAUGGUGUUGACGACGAGGUAUUAUCGCAAUUGAGCCAGAUGGGCGGUGGGCUGGUGCGUGGGCACCCCAAGGAGUACCUCCGGGCCGAGGUGCGAGCCUUGGCCGUGUUUGCCAGUAAAUGCUCCCGUACUCAACAAUUCAACAUCAUCCCAUGGACUACACAUCGACAUAUGCUCAAUUUUGCUGGCAAAAGAUUUCGGGCCACCCAGCUCUCCCCAACUCCACGAGAUGGAGAGGAGCAUCGCAAUUUCUACCCAAUCGACUCGAAAGGAGGCUUUGAGAGGACUUGGUUAUUAUCAGUGACACUCAAUUUAUAUAUUGGCUCAAUGUGUUCAUGAGCUUCGUACGAGGUAAACGCGGCCGUGCCUGGCUGGAUCAUGUCUGACAUUACUGUGAAACUAGGUGAUGGCAUCGAGAGAAAGGCGCUCCAGACAGUACCAUUAGGUAAGUGAUAAUAAACUCUGCAAUUAUUUGUAAUUUCUUUUGAACUUCGAUUUUGUUUUAUUGCUUGUUCUGCUGGUGCUUCUGAUGGAUAUUCUAGGAUGGUUCGACAAGCCAGAAGAGAUCGAUGGUCUGGUUGAGUUCCUGGCUGUUCAUCCAAUACCUGACCGGGCAAUACCAUGUUGCUAGCUAUGCCUGGGUCAAUAAUUAGUUUUAUUAUUGAGGUACAUUUUUAACGACAUUGAUGAUAUGUUUAUUUUGUUCAUACAAAUCUGGAUGAGGUGACAUUUUGGAUGUACAAAUAUGAUUAAUUAGCCAUCGAUCGUGUAUACAUAAAAAAAAUCUGAUCUAGCAUUGUUCUGGUAGAGUUGCUUAAUCUUGUCACUGAAUUCUGUAGUUGCUUUUGGCUGAGAGCUGUAUGAUGUAUUGUUACUACACUAAUGUCCCAAAUCUACUUUGGUGGAUAAAUAAAAAAUAUUUAUGUCAGCAGCAGUAUGUCGUUCCAUUUGGUCUAUGCAUGUAGCCGACUAUUGUAAUUAGCUUUUCGUUAGUAGGGUUUCAGUUUUUUCUGCUUGGUGGAUGGCAAAGUAACACCUACUUCGACUUGGGCUUGUCGAGUCAAUGCUAAGAAUACAGGUGGCAUACUAAUCCGUGUCUGCUACCUAUCAUUCUUUGUCCCUUUGUUUUCUUUUCCUCAUUGUUUCAAGUUUAGGUUCCGGCAUGUAGAUAUGGUCCCCUAUCUUCAUCCCUUGAUCUAGGCAUGAGUCUUCAGGUUUGCAUCUCCUCAACGCUUCCCUCAGAUCCUCUCUGAAUCUUGAUGUUUCCCUCCUGAUUUAGUUCUAAAUCUAUG